This 467-nucleotide ribosomal RNA is filed under the name uncultured bacterium. RNAcentral's name for it is "partial 16S ribosomal RNA". It matches the Rfam family "Bacterial small subunit ribosomal RNA", at positions 29 to 507 of the family's 1533-position model. The record is from RNAcentral.
ACGAACGCUGGCGGCGUGCUUAACACAUGCAAGUCGCACGGAAAGGCCCUGCUUUUGUGGGGUGCUCGAGUGGCGAACGGGUGAGUAACACGUGAGUAACCUGCCCUUGACUUUGGGAUAACUUCAUGAAACUGGGGCUAAUACCGGAUAGGAGCUCCUGCUGCAUGGUGGGGGUUGGAAAGUUUCGGCGGUUGGGGAUGGACUCGCGGCUUAUCAGCUUGUUGGUGGGGUAGUGGCUUACCGAGGCUUUGACGGGUAGCCGGCCUGAGAGGGUGACCGGCCACAUUGGGACUGAGAUACGGCCCAGACUCCUACGGGAGGCAGCAGUGGGGAAUAUUGCACAAUGGGCGGAAGCCUGAUGCAGCAACGCCGCGUGCGGGAUGACGGCCUUCGGGUUGUAAACCGCUUUCGCCUGUGACGAAGCGUGAGUGACGGUAAUGGGUAAAGAAGCACCGGCUAACUACGUG